UACAGAGGGUGCGAGCGUUGUCCGGAAUCACUGGGCGUAAAGGGCGCGUAGGUGGCGGCCCAAGUCCGUGGUGAAAGCUCGCCGCUUAACGGCGAGUCGGCCACGGAGACUGGGUGGCUCGAGCACUGUAGGGGCAGAUGGAAUUCCGGGUGUAGCGGUGGAAUGCGUAGAGAUCCGGAAGACCACCAGUGGCGAAGGCGGUCUGCUGGGCAGUUGCUGACACUGAUGCGCGACAGCGUGGGGAGCAAACAGG
RNAcentral lists this ribosomal RNA (253 nucleotides) under uncultured bacterium. Its description in RNAcentral is "partial 16S ribosomal RNA". It matches the Rfam family "Bacterial small subunit ribosomal RNA", at positions 524 to 776 of the family's 1533-position model. The record is from RNAcentral.